CACACACACUAAGUAUAAUCCUGUGACCACAUAGAAAAGGAUGAUUUAUGUGUGAGGGGUAUCGCCCUUCGCCGCGAUAAAAACAAAUAAGCACUCCGGCCUGGGGGAGUACGCCGCAAGUUGAAACUCCAAAGAAUGACGGGGCCCGCCCAGCAGCGGAGCAUGUGGUUAAUCGACGCAACGCGAGACUACAGGUCUUGACAUCCAGUAAACUGUAGAGAUACAUCGUGUCUCGGACAUACUGAGACAGGUGGUGCAUGGUGUCGUCAGCUCGUGUCGUGAGAUGUUGGGUUAAGUCCCGCAACGAGCGCAACCCUUAUUUUCAGUUACUAACAGGUAAAGCUGAGGACUCUGAAGAGACUGCCGGGGACAACUCGGAGGAAGGUGGGGAUGACGUCAAAUCAUCAUGCCCCUUAUGACCGGGGCUACACACGUGCUACAAUGGCGUAAACAGAGGGAAGCGAAGCGGUGACGUGGAGCGAAUCCCAAAAAUAACGUAACAGUUCGGAUUGAAGUCUGCAACCCGACUUCAUGAAGCUGGAAUCGCUAGUAAUCGCAGAUCAGAACGAUGCGGUGAAUACGUUCCCGGGUCUUGUACACACCGCCCGUCACACCAUGGGAGUCGGAAAUGCCCGAAGUCCGUGACCUAACCGUAAGGAAGGAGCGGCCGAAGGCAGGUCUGAUGACUGGGGUG
RNAcentral lists this ribosomal RNA (694 nucleotides) under uncultured bacterium. RNAcentral describes it as "bacterial SSU rRNA". The stretch from base 104 to 694 matches the Rfam family "Bacterial small subunit ribosomal RNA", at positions 875 to 1482 of the family's 1533-position model. The record is from RNAcentral.